UUGAACGCUGGCGGUAUGCUUAACACAUGCAAGUCGAACGGAAACGAUGGAAGCUUGCUUCCAGGCGUCGAGUGGCGGACGGGUGAGUAACGCGUAGGAAUCUGCCAGAUAGUGGGGGAUAGCCCGGAGAAAUCCGGAUUAAUACCGCAUAAUCUCCAUGGAGUAAAGAGGGCCUCUAUUUAUAAGCUUUCGCUAUCUGAUGAGCCUGCGUAAGAUUAGCUAGUUGGUGGGGUAAUGGCCUACCAAGGCGACGAUCUUUAGCUGGUCUGAGAGGAUGAUCAGCCACACUGGGACUGAGACACGGCCCAGACUCCUACGGGAGGCAGCAGUGGGGAAUAUUGGACAAUGGGGGCAACCCUGAUCCAGCAAUACCGCGUGUGUGAAGAAGGCCUGAGGGUUGUAAAGCACUUUCAAUUGUGAAGAAAAGUUAAUAGUUAAUACCUAUUAGCCUUGACGUUAACUUUAGAAGAAGCACCGGCUAACUCCGUGCCAGCAGCCGCGGUAAUACGGAGGGUGCAAGCGUUAAUCGGAAUUACUGGGCGUAAAGCGUGCGUAGGCGGUUGACUAAGUCAGAUGUGAAAGCCCCGGGCUUAACCUGGGAACUGCAUUUGAAACUGGUCAACUAGAGUAUGGUAGAGGAAAGUGGAAUUUCUGGUGUAGCGGUGAAAUGCGUAGAUAUCAGAAGGAACAUCGAUGGCGAAGGCAGCUUUCUGGACCAAUACUGACGCUGAGGUACGAAAGCGUGGGUAGCAAACAGGAUUAGAUACCCUGGUAGUCCACGCCGUAAACGAUGAUAACUAGCCGUUGGGAGGGUUUACCUCUUA
This 824-nucleotide ribosomal RNA is filed under the name uncultured bacterium. RNAcentral describes it as "bacterial SSU rRNA". It matches the Rfam family "Bacterial small subunit ribosomal RNA", at positions 29 to 842 of the family's 1533-position model. The record is from RNAcentral.